CCCUUAGAUGUUCUGGGCCGCACGCGCGCUACACUGACAUGUUCAACAAGCCUCCUAGUUCGACAGGAUUUGGGAAAUCUUUGAACGCAUGUCGUGAUAGGGAUAGAUCAUUGCAAUUAUUGAUCUUGAACGAGGAAUUCCUAGUAAACGCGAGUCAUCAGCUCGCAUUGAUUACGUCCCUGCCCUUUGUACACACCGCCCGUCGCACCUACCGAUUGAAUGUUUCGGUGAAGAUUCCGGAUAGGACUUUUUUGAUUUAUUUCAAUUCUGUCUUAAAAGCUAUCUAAACCUCAACAUUUAGAGGAAGGUGAAGUCGUAACA
Molecule: ribosomal RNA, 321 nt
Filed under: uncultured eukaryote
Lineage: Eukaryota
Description: partial 18S ribosomal RNA
Rfam family: Eukaryotic small subunit ribosomal RNA
Source: RNAcentral